UUGGAAUGCAGAGUGGUGAAUUAUGUCAAUUUUCUUUGCAUGCCUCCACUAAACAUAGCAUUGGAACUUUGUUGGUUUUCUACCAACGAAAAUUUCAGCUUGGGCUAGUUUUAGGUUAAUUCGUUUAUUGGUUGGAACAUAUCAAUGCAAAGCAUUUUUGUUUGUUAGAGAUAUCGUCCUAGUUCAAGUUGUUUGUUGAAAAUUCUCACCAUGUUACAUAUGGUAGAAUAUAAAAAAUUAUUUGGAUAUGGGCGAGACUUAACAUUAUAAAUCUCCCUGAAGUCCUAGGAAAUAUGUUAUUUUCCCCCUUUUUUUUUGUGUGUGUUCUAGACAUACAAUAUUUUGCCAUGUUCAAUUGUUUGGUUAAAAUGCUAAUAUAUCACCUUGAGAACUUCAGUGCUUGAAAGUGUUGAUAAAAUGCUAAUUUUAUAGCAUCUCAAUGAAUUAUACAUUAUGAUUUUCUUUAAUAUAAUCAUACUUUGUGAUUGUAUUUCUUAAUUGCCAUCUAACACAAUAGCAAAAUAUAUAUCCUUUUAUGC
This 539-nucleotide unclassified non-coding RNA is filed under the name Hevea brasiliensis (rubber tree). The record is from RNAcentral. Lineage: Eukaryota; Viridiplantae; Streptophyta; Magnoliopsida; Malpighiales; Euphorbiaceae.